UUUUUUUUUUUUUUUCCAUAUAUAAAUGGAGACGAAUUCAUAACUUCAACUUUUCCUAGGUUGGGUGUAAGGGGUCUGCUGACCGUGUUUAAACGGAUGGCACAAGCUAAGUUUUCUUGGAUUAAUCAAAAUUAAUAAAUUUAAUUUUUCUUAUAAAAAGCUUCAAUUUUUAUCCAAGCUGGAAGGUACACUUGCCAUCAAGUUCUCACAUUAAGGUACACUUACCAUCAAGUUCUCACAUU
RNAcentral lists this unclassified non-coding RNA (242 nucleotides) under Hevea brasiliensis (rubber tree). The record is from RNAcentral. Lineage: Eukaryota; Viridiplantae; Streptophyta; Magnoliopsida; Malpighiales; Euphorbiaceae.